Molecule: long non-coding RNA, 1076 nt
Filed under: Olea europaea subsp. europaea
Lineage: Eukaryota; Viridiplantae; Streptophyta; Magnoliopsida; Lamiales; Oleaceae
Source: RNAcentral
UCUCAGAUCAAGGGAAGAAACCAGAAUAGGAGUCUGGGUACAGGUCUAAAAUAAUAUGAGAUUAAAUAAUGCAACAACGUUUAGCAAAUAAAUAGUUUUACUUAGAAAGUUAAACAAAGAAUGACAAGUAAUCAUAUGUUCUACCAACAAGUAAUGGUUGUCAAACAAUGAUAACCCCAAAUCCCAAUGAUCACCCCACACGAUAAUCUGCUAGUGUGAUAAUGUAAAGGUUUCAACCAAUUUACCAGAGCGGACCAGUUCUGUAAUCCGUAAAAUAGGAGAGAUGCGAACUUUUUGUUUUAGACCCACGAUUUUUGCCUAAAGUAAUUCAGUAAAUAUAUAUAGCAAUUGCGACCAUCGAGCCACCAAGGGUAAAAUCAUCCAACUUUUGCUGCAAUACCUAAAACGAAAGACUAACGACACACAUAUUUUAGAAAUGUCAAAAUAAAGAUUCUGUCUAAAGAAAUCAUCAUCGAAAUCCUCUCCACGCGUUUACACGAGCCACCGCCGGAGUCCCACGUGUCGCCUCACGCACCGUCCAGUCAGCUUCUCCUUUGCCUGUUGAGUUCGAAUCGAUUCUUUUUGCUUCAGCUGCGUUUUCUUCAGGUUUUGGUUUCCCACCAAACUCUGAUACCAAUUUUUGAUACUAAUUCCACCUACAAUUGAACAAAUCAACUAUGUGAGCUAUGGAAUUAACUUAAACAAUUAAGGAAAUCAAAAAGAAAAACAAAAUUUGAAGAAUGAAGAACAAUGAAUUUUCCCUUUUUAAUUCGGCUUAGAAAAGUCAAUCCAACACCAAGAAGGCAGCAACAAAUUGGAGACUUUUGCAAUCAUAGAGAUAGAAGCACACAAAGGCAGAAACUGGGUUUCAAAAUGCACGUAGUGAGGCCGAUUGGUGUGUUUUUAAAAAUGAGGCCGAGAGACUCCAAUUUAUAGACAAGGGACAAACAAAUUUCCCAGAAUUUUUCGGCAAGAUAGAGUUCAAGAAAGCUGAAAAUGGUUACCAAGGAUAAGUAUAGUGCAACCAUCUAACUCUCCCAUGGGAAAAGGGAUAGAAAUCCCUUUUUCAAAUUAUC